UGGCUCAGAUUGAACGCUGGCGGCAGGCCUAACACAUGCAAGUCGAACGGUAACAGGAAGAAGCUUGCUUCUUUGCUGACGAGUGGCGGACGGGUGAGUAAUGUCUGGGAAACUGCCUGAUGGAGGGGGAUAACUACUGGAAACGGUAGCUAAUACCGCAUAACGUCGCAAGACCAAAGAGGGGGACCUUCGGGCCUCUUGCCAUCGGAUGUGCCCAGAUGGGAUUAGCUAGUAGGUGGGGUAACGGCUCACCUAGGCGACGAUCCCUAGCUGGUCUGAGAGGAUGACCAGCCACACUGGAACUGAGACACGGUCCAGACUCCUACGGGAGGCAGCAGUGGGGAAUAUUGCACAAUGGGCGCAAGCCUGAUGCAGCCAUGCCGCGUGUAUGAAGAAGGCCUUCGGGUUGUAAAUANCUUUCAGCGGGGAGGAAGGGAGUAAAGUUAAUACCUUUGCUCAUUGACGUUACCCGCAGAAGAAGCACCGGCUAACUCCGUGCCAGCAGCCGCGGUAAUACGGAGGGUGCAAGCGUUAAUCGGAAUUACUGGGCGUAAAGCGCACGCAGGCGGUUUGUUAAGUCAGAUGUGAAAUCCCCGGGCUCAACCUGGGAACUGCAUCUGAUACUGGCAAGCUUGAGUCUCGUAGAGGGGGGUAGAAUUCCAGGUGUAGCGGUGAAAUGCGUAGGGAUCUGGAGGAAUACCGGUGGCGAAGGCGGCCCCCUGNACGAAGACUGACGCUCAGGUGCGAAAGCGUGGGGAGCAAACAGGAUUANAUACCCUGGUAGUCCACGCCGUAAACGAUGUCAACUUGGAGGUUGUGCCCUUGAGGCGUGGCUUCCGGAGCUAACGCGUUAAGUCGACCGCCUGGGGAGUACGGCCGCAAGGUUAAAACUCAAAUGAAUUGACGGGGGCCCGCACAAGCGGUGGAGCAUGUGGUUUAAUUCGAUGCAACGCGAAGAACCUUACCUGGUCUUGACAUCCACGGAAGUUUUCAGAGGUGAGAAUGUGCCUUCGGGAACCGUGAGACAGGUGCUGCAUGGCUGUCGUCAGCUCGUGUUGUGAAAUGUUGGGUUAAGUCCCGCAACGAGCGCAACCCUUAUCCUUUGUUGCCAGCGGUCCGGCCGGGAACUCAAAGGAGACUGCCAGUGAUAAACUGGAGGAAGGUGGGGAUGACGUCAAGUCAUCAUGGCCCUUACGACCAGGGCUACACACGUGCUACAAUGGCGCAUACAAAGAGAAGCGACCUCGCGAGAGCAAGCGGACCUCAUAAAGUGCGUCGUAGUCCGGAUUGGAGUCUGCAACUCGACUCCAUGAAGUCGGAAUCGCUAGUAAUCGUGGAUCAGAAUGCCACGGUGAAUACGUUCCCGGGCCUUGUACACACCGCCCGUCACACCAUGGGAGUGGGUUGCAAAAGAAGUAGGUAGCUUAACCUUCGGGAGGGCGCUUACCACUUUGUGAUUCAUGACUGGGGUGAAGUCGUAACAAGGUAACC
Molecule: ribosomal RNA, 1491 nt
Filed under: uncultured Shigella sp.
Lineage: Bacteria; Pseudomonadati; Pseudomonadota; Gammaproteobacteria; Enterobacterales; Enterobacteriaceae
Description: 16S ribosomal RNA
Rfam family: Bacterial small subunit ribosomal RNA
Source: RNAcentral